This 75-nucleotide transfer RNA is filed under the name Thermoplasmata archaeon. RNAcentral's name for it is "tRNA-Glu". It matches the Rfam family "tRNA". Rfam says of the family: Transfer RNA (tRNA) molecules are approximately 80 nucleotides in length. Their secondary structure includes four short double-helical elements and three loops (D, anti-codon, and T loops). Further hydrogen bonds mediate the characteristic L-shaped molecular structure. tRNAs have two regions of fundamental functional importance: the anti-codon, which is responsible for specific mRNA codon recognition, and the 3' end, to which the tRNAs corresponding amino acid is attached (by aminoacyl-tRNA synthetases). tRNAs cope with the degeneracy of the genetic code in two manners: having more than one tRNA (with a specific anti-codon) for a particular amino acid; and 'wobble' base-pairing, i.e. permitting non-standard base-pairing at the 3rd anti-codon position. RNAcentral also lists the same sequence under 1 other name. Lineage: Archaea; Methanobacteriati; Thermoplasmatota; Thermoplasmata. The record is from RNAcentral.
GCUCCCGUAGUCUAGUCCGGUCAAGGAUAGAGGGCCUUCGACCCUCCAACGUGGGUUCAAAUCCCGCCGGGAGCA